AGAGUUUGAUCAUGGCUCAGGACGAACGCUGGCGGCGUGCUUAACACAUGCAAGUCGAACGGAAAGGCCCUGCUUUUGUGGGGUGCUCGAGUGGCGAACGGGUGAGUAACACGUGAGUAACCUGCCCUUGACUUUGGGAUAACUUCAGGAAACUGGGGCUAAUACCGGAUAGGAGCUCCUGCUGCAUGGUGGGGGUUGGAAAGUUUCGGCGGUUGGGGAUGGACUCGCGGCUUAUCAGCUUGUUGGUGGGGUAGUGGCUUACCAAGGCUUUGACGGGUAGCCGGCCUGAGAGAGUGACCGGCCACAUUGGGACUGAGAUACGGCCCAGACUCCUACGGGAGGCAGCAGUGGGGAAUAUUGCACAAUGGGUGGAAGCCUGAUGCAGCAACGCCGCGUGCGGGAUGACGGCCUUCGGGUUGUAAACCGCUUUCGCCUGUGACGAAGCGUGAGUGACGGUAAUGGGUAAAGAAGCACCGGCUAACUACGUGCCAGCAGCCGCGGUGAUACGUAGGGUGCGAGCGUUGUCCGGAUUUAUUGGGCGUAAAGGGCUCGUAGGUGGUUGAUCGCGUCGGAAGUGUAAUCUUGGGGCUUAACCCUGAGCGUGCUUUCGAUACGGGUUGACUUGAGGAAGGUAGGGGAGAAUGGAAUUCCUGGUGGAGCGGUGGAAUGCGCAGAUAUCAGGAGGAACACCAGUGGCGAAGGCGGUUCUCUGGGCCUUUCCUGACGCUGAGGAGCGAAAGCGUGGGGAGCGAACAGGCUUAGAUACCCUGGUAGUCCACGCUGUAAACGGUGGGUACUAG
RNAcentral lists this ribosomal RNA (800 nucleotides) under uncultured bacterium. RNAcentral's name for it is "bacterial SSU rRNA". It matches the Rfam family "Bacterial small subunit ribosomal RNA", at positions 8 to 819 of the family's 1533-position model. The record is from RNAcentral.